This 1488-nucleotide ribosomal RNA is filed under the name Ureaplasma felinum. Its description in RNAcentral is "16S ribosomal RNA". It matches the Rfam family "Bacterial small subunit ribosomal RNA". The record is from RNAcentral. Lineage: Bacteria; Bacillati; Mycoplasmatota; Mycoplasmoidales; Mycoplasmoidaceae.
GGAUUAACGCUGGCGGCAUGCCUAAUACAUGCAAAUCGAACGAAGCCUUUUAGGCUUAGUGGUGAACGGGUGAGUAACACGUAUCCAAUCUACCCUUAAGUUGGGGAUAACUAGUCGAAAGAUUAGCUAAUACCGAAUAAUAACAUUUUAUCGCAUGAUUUAAUGUAGAAAGUCGCGUUUGCGACGCUUUUGGAUGAGGGUGCGACGUAUCAGAUAGUUGGUGAGGUAACGGCUCACCAAGUCAAUGACGCGUAGCUGUACUGAGAGGUAGAACAGCCACAAUGGGACUGAGACACGGCCCAUACUCCUACGGGAGGCAGCAGUAGGGAAUUUUUCACAAUGGGCGCAAGCCUUAUGAAGCAAUGCCGCGUGAAUGAUGAAGGUCUUAUAGAUUGUAAAAUUCUUUUAUUUGGGAAGAAAUGUUAAGAUAGGAAAUGAUUUUAACUUGACUGUACCAUUUGAAUAAGUAUCGGCUAACUAUGUGCCAGCAGCCGCGGUAAUACAUAGGAUGCAAGCGUUAUCCGGAUUUACUGGGCGUAAAACGAGCGCAGGCGGGUUUGUAAGUUUGGUAUGAAAUCUAGAUGCUCAACGUCUAGCUGUAUCAAAAACUGUAAACCUAGAAUGUAGUAGGGAGUUGGGGAACUCCAUGUGGAGCGGUAAAAUGCGUAGAUAUAUGGAAGAACACCGGUGGCGAAGGCGCCAACUUAGACUAUCAUUGACGCUUAGGCUCGAAAGUGUGGGGAGCAAAUAGGAUUAGAUACCCUAGUAGUCCACACCGUAAACGAUGAUCAUUAAAUGUCGGCCCGUAUGGGUCGGUGUUGUAGCUAACGCAUUAAAUGAUCUGCCUGGGUAGUACAUUCGCAAGAAUGAAACUCAAACGGAAUUGACGGGGACCCGCACAAGUGGUGGAGCAUGUUGCUUAAUUUGACAAUACACGUAGAACCUUACCUAGGUUUGACAUCUAUUGCAAUGUUAUAGAAAUAUAACGGAGGUUAACAAUAUGACAGGUGGUGCAUGGUUGUCGUCAGCUCGUGUCGUGAGAUGUUGGGUUAAGUCCCGCAACGAGCGCAACCCCUUUCGUUAGUUAAUUUUUUAACGAUACUGCUACUGCAAAGUAGAGGAAGGUGGGGAUGACGUCAAAUCAUCAUGCCCCUUAUAUCUAGGGCUGCAAACGUGCUACAAUGGCUAAUACAAAGUGUCGCGACUUCGUAAGAAGAAGCCAAUCACAUAAAGUUAGUCUCAGUUCGGAUUGAGGGCUGCAAUUCGCCCUYAUGAAGUUGGAAUCACUAGUAAUCGCGAAUCAGACAUGUCGCGGUGAAUACGUUCUCGGGUCUUGUACACACCGCCCGUCAAACUAUGGGAGCUGGUAAUAUCUAAAACCGUAUAUCUAACCGUAAGGAGGAGUACGUCUAGGGUAGGAUCGGUGACUGGAGUUAAGUCGUAACAAGGUAUCCCUACGAGAACGUGGGGAUGGAUCACCUCCUUUCU